Molecule: ribosomal RNA, 181 nt
Filed under: uncultured bacterium
Lineage: Bacteria
Description: partial 16S ribosomal RNA
Rfam family: Bacterial small subunit ribosomal RNA
Source: RNAcentral
CAUGAAGUCGGAAUUGCUAGUAAUCGCGGAUCAGCAUGCCGCGGUGAAUACGUUCCCGGGCCUUGUACACACCGCCCGUCACACCAUGGGAGCCGGUAAUACCCGAAGUCAGUAGUCCAACCACGUGAGGACGCUGCCGAAGGUAGGAUUGGCGACUGGGGUGAAGUCGUAACAAGGUACC